This 490-nucleotide ribosomal RNA is filed under the name uncultured bacterium. RNAcentral's name for it is "partial 16S ribosomal RNA". It matches the Rfam family "Bacterial small subunit ribosomal RNA", at positions 29 to 507 of the family's 1533-position model. The record is from RNAcentral.
AGUGAACGCUGGCGGUAGGCCUAACACAUGCAAGUCGAACGGCAGCACAGGAGAGCUUGCUCUCUGGGUGGCGAGUGGCGGACGGGUGAGGAAUACAUCGGAAUCUGCCCAGUCGUGGGGGAUAACGUAGGGAAACUUACGCUAAUACCGCAUACGACCUUCGGGUGAAAGAGGGGGAUCGCAAGACCUCUCGCGAUUGGAUGAGCCAAUGUCGGAUUAGCUAGUUGGCGGGGUAAUGGCCCACCAAGGCGACGAUCCGUAGCUGGUCUGAGAGGAUGAUCAGCCACACUGGAACUGAGACACGGUCCAGACUCCUACGGGAGGCAGCAGUGGGGAAUAUUGGACAAUGGGCGCAAGCCUGAUCCAGCCAUACCGCGUGGGUGAAGAAGGCCUUCGGGUUGUAAAGCCCUUUUGUUGGGAAAGAAAUCUUUCAGGCUAAUACCCUGGGAGGAUGACGGUACCCAAAGAAUAAGCACCGGCUAACUUCGUG